UACGAACCGUCCAAACGUUAUUCGGAAUCACUGGGCUUACAGAGUUCGUAGGCGGCGCGGUAAGUAGGGUGUGAAAGCCCUCGGCUCAACCGAGGAAUUGCGCUCUAAACUGUCGCGCUGGAGGAGGAUAGAGGUGAGCGGAACUGAUGGUGGAGCGGUGAAAUGCGUUGAUAUCAUCAGGAACACCGGAGGCGAAGGCGGCUCACUGGGUCCUUUCUGACGCUGAGGAACGAAAGCUAGGGGAGCGAAC
RNAcentral lists this ribosomal RNA (250 nucleotides) under uncultured bacterium. RNAcentral's name for it is "partial 16S ribosomal RNA". It matches the Rfam family "Bacterial small subunit ribosomal RNA", at positions 524 to 773 of the family's 1533-position model. The record is from RNAcentral.